This 465-nucleotide ribosomal RNA is filed under the name uncultured bacterium. Its description in RNAcentral is "bacterial SSU rRNA". It matches the Rfam family "Bacterial small subunit ribosomal RNA", at positions 330 to 793 of the family's 1533-position model. The record is from RNAcentral.
UCCAGACUCCUACGGGAGGCAGCAGUGAGGAAUAUUGGUCAAUGGCCGGAAGGCUGAACCAGCCAAGCCGCGUGAAGGACGAAGGUGCCAAGCAUUGUAAACUUCUUUUGUCAAGGGACAAAAUCAGGCUCGAGAGCCUGACCGAGGGUACUUGAAGAAAAAGCAUCGGCUAACUCCGUGCCAGCAGCCGCGGUAAUACGGAGGAUGCGAGCGUUAUCCGGAUUUAUUGGGUUUAAAGGGUGCGUAGGCGGAACAUUAAGUCAGCGGUAAAAUCGAGGGGCUCAACCCCUUUAAGCCGUUGAAACUGGUGAUCUUUAGUGGGCGAGAAGUAUGCGGAAUGCGUGGUGUAGCGGUGAAAUGCAUAGAUAUCACGCAGAACUCCGAUUGCGAAGGCAGCAUACCGGCGCCCGACUGACGCUGAGGCAUGAAAGCGUGGGGAUCGAACAGGAUUAGAUACCCGUGUAU